UGGUGCAUGGUUGUCGUCAGCUCGUGUCGUGAGAUGUUGGGUUAAGUCCCGCAACGAGCGCAACCCUUAUUGCUAGUUACCAUCAUUGAGUUGGGGACUCUAGCGAGACUGCCAGCGAUAAGCUGGAGGAAGGUGGGGAUGACGUCAAAUCAUCAUGCCCCUUAUGACCUGGGCUACAAACGUGAUACAAUGGCUGGAACAAAGGGAGGCGAAGGGGUGACCUGGAGCGAAACCCAAAAAUACAGUCUCAGUUCGGAUUGAAGUCUGCAACUCGACUUCAUGAAGUCGGAAUCGCUAGUAACCGCGAAUCAGCAGGUCGCGGUGAAUACGUUCCCGGGCCUU
This 342-nucleotide ribosomal RNA is filed under the name uncultured Acholeplasma sp. RNAcentral's name for it is "bacterial SSU rRNA". It matches the Rfam family "Bacterial small subunit ribosomal RNA", at positions 1039 to 1382 of the family's 1533-position model. The record is from RNAcentral. Lineage: Bacteria; Bacillati; Mycoplasmatota; Mollicutes; Acholeplasmatales; Acholeplasmataceae.